GUUUAACAUGAAUAAAAGCAUGUUCCUACCAGCAAGCCAGACUACCUUAUGACAGACAACUCACUCAUAAUACAAGUUCUGGACAAGAGGAGCCUGAGGUUGAGCUCUUCCCUUGCGACUCACAAAUGCUAACAAACAAUGAAACAAAUUAGCUGAUUUGCACAGUUUGAGAUAUUUGUCUCUGGGAAGGUAACAUGGUUUUUGCUG
Molecule: long non-coding RNA, 207 nt
Organism: Mastomys coucha (southern multimammate mouse)
Lineage: Eukaryota; Metazoa; Chordata; Mammalia; Rodentia; Muridae
Exons: 3
Source: RefSeq, a predicted model, not a curated record